AAUCGCCACCGCCACCACCAUACAAGUACGAGUCGCCUCCUCCACCUCCGUACAAGUAUGAAUCGCCUCCUCCCCCACCAUACUACUACAAAUCACCACCACCACCUCCUUACAAGUAUGAAUCUCCCCCUCCACCUCCAUAUUACUACAAAUCUCCACCCCCGCCACCACCUUACUACUACAAAUCACCACCACCACCUUCUCCUGUCUACAAAUAUAAAUCUCCACCACCACCACCUUACAAGUACGAAUCUCCUCCUCCACCUCCAUACUAUUACAAGUCUCCACCACCACCGCCGUAUUACUACAAGUCUCCACCACCACCACCUCCAGUUUACAAAUACAAAUCUCCUCCUCCGCCACCAUAUUACUACAAAUCACCACCUCCUCCAUCACCAGUAUAUUACUACAAAUCUCCUCCUCCACCAGCGUAUUACUACAAAUCUCCCCCACCGCCUGUCUACUAUUACAAAUCCCCGCCACCUCCAGCUUACCACUACCAAUCGCCACCCCCACCAAGUUACAAGCUGGUAGUGGUCACGGGCAAGGUCUAUUGCAACAGAUGCUGGAACACCACAAGCAGAUACCUUCAGGCAUCACCACAUGGGUCUGCUAGGUACAUUCUCAAUUGCAUUGUAUUCGAUAUUGUUCUCCUCACUCAUUUCCUCUUGAUACUGUGUGCAAUAAUGCAGGUGGCAAAGUGAAGAUCACAUGUGGCGAAUCUUACUACUACGGCUACACCAACAAGCAUGGAAUCUUUAGAAUUGAGCUCCCGCACCAAUCCUGGGAAGAAGCAAGCAGCUGCAAGGCCAAGAUUAUCAAGAGCAGCUACAUCAAGUCGUCAUGCAAUGUCAUCACGGACUACAGGUCUGGUGCAACAGGGGCCAAGCUCAAGUUCAAAUCGAAAACAGAGAAGGAGCUCGUCUUGACAGCCGGUCCUUUCAUCUAUGCAACUCCAGAGCCAUCGUCAGUCUGCUUCUACACAUCACCUCCCUAUGAGUACAAGUCACCUCCGCCACCAACACCGGUCUACCAUUACGCCUCUCCGCCACCUCCGGUCUACUACUACAAAUCGCCACCUCCUCCUUCACCGGUUUACUACUACAAAUCCCCUCCUCCUCCUUCGCCGGUCUACUAUUACAAAUCCCCGCCUCCACCACCAUACUAUUACAAGUCCCCACCUCCACCUCCGCCUAAGUAUUACUACAAGUCGCCCCCACCACCGUCUCCAUACUAUUACAAAUCCCCGCCCCCUCCACCGUACUAUUACAAAUCCCCACCACCACCUCCCUACAAAUACGAAUCGCCGCCGCCUCCUCCUUACAAAUACGAGUCCCCACCUCCACCACCUUACUAUUACAAGUCCCCACCACCACCUCCAUACAAAUAUGAAUCCCCGCCACCUCCAGUCUACAAAUAUGAGUCUCCGCCACCCCCAGUUUACAAAUACAAGUCGCCACCACCACCAUACAAGUACGAGUCACCACCACCACCUCCAUACAAGUAUGAAUCCCCGCCACCUCCACCUUAUUACUACAAGUCCCCUCCACCACCACCAUACAAGUACGAGUCGCCACCACCUCCUCCGUACAAGUAUGAAUCUCCACCACCACCAGUUUACAAAUACAAGUCACCUCCGCCGCCACCUUAUUACUACAAAUCCCCACCGCCACCUCCAUACAAGUACGAGUCUCCACCUCCUCCUCCGUACAAGUAUGAAUCUCCACCACCACCACCUUAUUACUACAAAUCCCCCCCGCCACCUCCAUACAAGUACGAGUCACCGCCUCCUCCUCCGUACAAGUAUGAAUCUCCACCACCGCCAGUUUACAAAUACAAGUCACCCCCGCCACCACCUUAUUACUACAAAUCCCCGCCACCACCUCCAUACAAGUACGAGUCUCCACCUCCUCCUCCGUACAAGUAUGAAUCUCCACCACCACCUCCUUAUUACUACAAAUCCCCGCCGCCACCUCCCUACAAGUAUGAAUCCCCGCCACCACCUCCCUACAAAUACGAGUCACCUCCACCACCACCUUACUAUUACAAAUCUCCUCCACCGCCUCCAUACAAGUAUGAGUCGCCACCACCACCAGUCUACAAAUACGAGUCUCCGCCACCCCCAGUUUACAAAUACAAGUCGCCCCCUCCACCUUAUUACUACAAGUCUCCGCCACCCCCGCCAUACAAAUAUGAAUCCCCACCUCCACCUCCCUACAAGUAUGAAUCGCCUCCUCCUCCACCUUACUACUACAAGUCCCCUCCACCACCUCCCUACAAAUAUGAAUCCCCGCCACCACCUCCCUAUAAAUACGAGUCACCACCACCACCACCUUACUAUUACAAAUCUCCUCCACCGCCUCCAUACAAGUAUGAGUCGCCACCACCACCUCCCUACAAAUACGAGUCACCACCACCACCACCUUACAAGUAUGAAUCCCCACCUCCACCUCCGUACAAGUAUGAAUCACCUCCACCGCCUCCAUACAAGUAUGAAUCCCCUCCUCCACCUCCCUACAAAUACGAGUCACCACCCCCACCACCUUAUUACUACAAAUCGCCUCCGCCACCGGAGUAUCAAUCACCUCCUUACGUGUAUAAAUCUCCACCUCCACCCUCGUACUAGGAGCUAAGGAGCAUUUGAUUUUCAGGUGAGAAAUCUAUAGAACCACAGUUCCUAGUUUUAACAAGUUUUCAAAUUCAUCAGGUUGUAAGAAGAGGACGUCGAAGUAGAUACGGAUGUGUAGAUUGGGAUCUCGUUGGCUUUGAGUAGCAAUUUGUUUCCACCAUCGAAGUCUUCUCUCCGCAAUCUUCUCAAGGCGCUCACAAAGCGCUCAGGGGCAGUUUUGAAGUGCAGCGGGACCCCUGCAAAAUAAGCACAGGCUUGUUGAGGAAGUUUGAGAGCUUUUGUUGGUUGCCAAUAAACACAGGGAAUUAGCGCAUAUGUGCGCCCUCCUGGCUUCCAGUUGUGAACGAUUCUGAAGUAAAUAAUUUGAUUCUGCGACUAGAAAGCAUGCUGGACCAUUCUGGAAGUGUCUCCAGGACUGCCAAAAGGCUAAAUCCAAGAUUUUCAAAAGGAUCCGUCUUUCUUCUAAGAAGAUCGAUCUUCUUAGAAGAUCUUGACGUCGCAAGCAAGACCUGAGAUCAAGGUUCACAAUGUAGGAGUCGAUUGCGGGCAUUGAAUGAACGAAAGGAAAUCCUGGCCAGUCUCUCCUUUUCUAGCUCGACACCCGGCAAUCCAGAAGAAAAGGCUGCUCGAUCGUAUUUUCCAUACGAGGACUUUUAUGCCGCAUUGAUCGUUGCUGCUCACCACUUUGACAAUGAAAGGUUUGAAACUCAAGACUAGUUCCUGUGUAGAAAAUGCCAAAAGAAAAUCCACAUCAUAGAAAUGUAAAAAAUGCCAAAAGAAAACCACAUCAUAGAAAUGAGCUCGUGGCCAAAAGAAAUGGAGAUGAGGGGCAUCGAUCCCCUUACCUAUCGCAUGCGAAGCGAUCGCUCUACCAUCUGAGCUACAUCCCCGUUUGAUCUUACCAGCCGCUGAUACCAGGCAUAUUCUCCGAUCGCCGACUUCCUUGCAGGUUCCAAUGGGCGGAAAAGAACACUUCUCGAGGGAGACAUGGAAGCCUGGAAUCGCAAAGGAGAGGGUAGGGUUCCUUGCUUUUUUCGCCCACCAGGUAGCUAUCUCUAAUUCUGCCAAGGAUGCCUAGAAGAAAGCUUGUGGAGAUCGAUGUCACGUCGGAUACGGUGUGCCCCUGGUGCUACAUCGGGAAGAAGAACUUGGAGCGGGCAAUCGAGGCCUCGGCAGACGAAUACGACUUCGAGGUAACUGGUUGGAUUCAUUCCUCCUCUCGAGUCUUAGAACGCUUCGAUCCAAUCACGCAGGUUCGAUGGCGUCCCUACUUGCUGAAUCCCAGCGCCCCCGUCGAGGGUGUUGAUAAGCUUGCUUAUUACAAGUCCAAGUUUGGAGAAGGUCGAUUUUCUUCUAUCGUGGGCCGAUUGAGCAAGGUUUUUUUUACUGUGAUGAUCUAGCAAAUGCUUAUUAGUAAGUCUAAGAUGAUAAAUUGGUUCUCAGGUGUUUGAGGAUGUUGGACUCGAAAUCAACUUUGGCGGCCUCACGUAAAGAUCAUCACGCUUUAAUCUUUGUGUGUGUGUUAACUUUGUGGGAUUUCCACAGGGGAAACACUCUGGACAGCCACAGGCUUAUCGAACUGGCUGGACGUCAAGGCUAUGACAAGCAGAACGCGCUUGUCGAGGAGCUCUUCCUCAACUAUUUGACUCAAGAGAAAUACAUCGGUGACAGGUUUCUCUUCUUCUCCCUCGGCGAAGAUUUGUGAGAUCUCGGUUGAGCUGACAUGGUCUCGUUUGAUCAGGCAAGUUCUGGUGGAUGCCGCGGACAAAGUUGGAGUCACGGGGGCCAGCGAGUUUCUCGCUGAUCCUAAUGCCGGCCUCAAGGAGGUUUGUUUGUUUCUUUUAUCUCCAAGGCUUCAGCGUCGCGAUGUUCUACUGUUGCGCAGGUCCUGGAACAACUCAAAAAAUAUGGCACUGGAGUGAAUGGUGUCCCGCAUUUUCUAGUAAGCACAACUCUAAACUUUGAUGGUGAUCACUAAACUUUCGUCGUCCUCUACAGGUGAAUGGCAAGUAUCAACUCUCUGGCGCCCAGCCACCCAGCUCCUUUAUCGAAGUUUUCAAGAAGAGCUAGCUAGACUUAUGGUCUCUUUACAUCUUCUAGUGUGAAAGAAUCUCUCUCUCUCUCUCUCUCUCUCCCUCUCCAGACUUAUGGAAGCCAGCGAGUGCCUGGCACUGCUCGAUCGUUGCAAGACACUGUCCGUGGCCAAGGACAUCCAUUCCCGCAUCCAAGGAAACGUCCACAGCUCCGCGGCCAUCGCCAACAAGCUGAUCGAGGUCUACGGCCGGUGUGGGAGCAUCGACGAUGCACGCAGGGUGUUCGAUGCCACCAAUGCCAAAGACGCGGUUUCGUGGGUCGCGAUGCUCUCUGUCUACACUCGCAACGGGCAUCCAGAAGACGCCAAGCGCAUGUUUGAGAACAUGCCAGAUCGAUCUCCAGCGUCCUGGAAUGUCAUGUUGCUUGUCUACGUCCAAGCUGGGAAUCUACAAGCUGCAAGGCAACUGUUUGAAGAGAUGCCGGAACAGACUCUAGUGUCCUGGAACACUAUGCUCUCUGCAUAUGCCAAAGCCGGGCAUCUUGACACAGCGAAAGAGUUGUUUGAUGCAAUGCCGCAUCACAACAUCAUCUCUUUCUCAGCUAUCCUUCCCGCGUUUGUGGAGAAUGGGCUCCUUGACGAUGCCAGGAUCUUGUUCGAUUCCAUGCAAGAGAGCAACCUCGUGUGCUGGAACACUCUCCUGUCGGCCUACACGCGGCACGGGCACCUCCAGGAAGCGGCUCUCCUCUUCGCCGACAUGCCGGCACGGGACAUUGUCUCCUACACCGCACUCUUGUCGGCUCUCUCGCAGCACAGCCGGCUAGAAUAUUCUAAGAUCCUCUUCGAGGAGAUGCCAGAGAGAAGCAUCGUGUCGUGGACCGCGAUGCUGACUGCAUAUGCCCAAAACGGGUGUCUGGCGGAAGCGAAGGAGAUAUUCGACAAGAUGCCGGAGCGUGACUUUGUGUCAUGUACUGCUAUUCUUGCGGCGUACAGCGAAGCCGGGAUGGUUGACAGGGCAAGGUUUUGUUUCGAUCGGAUGCCAGAGCGAAACAUGGUUACUUGGACUACCAUGCUUGCUGCAUAUGCCCAGCGUGGGCUUGUUGACGCCGUCGCCAAGUUGUUCCAGAAAAUGCCCCAGAGUGAUCUCAUAGCUUGCAACACCAUGGUGAGCGCAUACGGUCAAAGCGGGCGGCUGGACGAGGCUGUACAGGUGUUUGAAGUGAUGCCGGUGCGAAGCCUGGUGACAUGGAAUGCUAUGCUAGCUGCUUAUGCCCAAAACUGUCAUCUUGAGAGCGCAAAGAAGGUAUUUGAUUCAAUGCCUAUGAAGGAUCUCGUUGCCUGGACGGAAAUGCUCGUAGCUUAUGCCCACGCUGGUCAUUUGGAAGAAGCUAAGUGUGUCUUUGACAAAAUGGCACAGAGGGAUGUGGUUUCCUGGAAUGUAAUGGUUACUGCGUUUGGCCAAAACGGCUACCUGGUUGAGGCCCAGCGGUUGUUUGAAUCCAUGCCAUUUCACAGUGUGAUGUCUUGGAACUCCAUUCUGGUUGCAAACAGCCAAUUUGGUGGAUUGCAGGGCUCGAGAUUAGUUUUUGAUGAGAUGCCAUGCCGUGAUACUGCUUCCUGGAGUGCAUUGCUCUUCGCUUAUGCCCAACAUGGACUUGACCAGAAAUGCAAGUUUCUAUUCGAUAGAAUGCCAGAGAAGUCUGUUGUCUCAUGGAACUCCAUGUUAGCCGCAUACACAUACAGUGGUAACUCUGUAGCAGCGAUGGAGCUGUUUAGUCUCAUGAAGAUGAAUGAAUUGCCUAACGAGACAUCUUUUCAUCUGGUUUUAAUCGUGUGCAGCCGCAGAAGAAGCGCAUCUGAAGGGAGGAGACAAUUCCUUUCAAUGUACGCGGACUUUGGGAUAUAUCAAGGAAAACAGCAUUUUCACCUCGUCCUCGAUCACUGGACCGAAGCCAAGGAUGGAUUUCCAUCUGAGCCAAGCAAUGCAGCUCUGGCGAAGAACCAGGUGACAGAAAACUUUCAUAGUUGACAUACUCUUUUCAAGGCAUUUGACAGGAGAAUGUAUGGCAACCGGUUUUGCUCAUCGACUCCGACGGCAUUCCUUGCAGCAGCCGCUCCCUGCUGCGUGUCACCAUGGAUAUCACACGCAGAGAGGAGAGUGGCCCAAUUCUUGAGCUCUGGAACGUAUGGCAUGCUCUCGAUCAGCCCUUUAGCCUCGUCAAGCUGCCCAGCUCGAGCAAGAAGAUCGACAAUGCAGCGGAAAUGGCUGGCUCGGGCAUCCAAGCCGUAAUCCAGGUCCAUGAACACGAAGUGCCGCCAUGCCAAACCGAAGAAUCCCUCGUGUCCCAAGGCCGAGAUGAGACUGAGCAGUGUGAUCUCGUUGGGAUCCCAGCCGUCCAGCUUCAUCAACUGGAAGAGCUCAAGAACACACCUCACGCGCUUCAAACUCCGCUCCCUGCGUCGCUGCUGCUCCUGCGGCCGACUGGAAUCCUCUCGUCGCGUGUAGACCUGCAGCAUCAUGUUCCAUGCCACCACCGUGCGCUCCGGCAUCAUUCGAAAGAGCUUCCUGGCCUCAGUGUGAUGCCCGCUUCGAGAAUACGCAGUUAUCAUGGAUGACCAUGAAAUGCUGUCUUUUACGUGCAUGCUAUCAAAAACUUUCCUUGAAACGUCUAAGAAUCCCGCUUGGAUGUAAGCGAAGUUCAUAGCGUUACACGCUGCCAGACUUUGACACGGCAUUUCUACAAAUAAACUCCUGGCUUCCUCUACAUGCCCGACUUGGGCAUAUGCCGCCAGCAUGGUAGUCCACGUCACUUGGUCACGGACGGGCAUGGAGUCAAAGAUGUCUCGGGCUUGUUCCACGUGUCCGUGGUCGCAGUAGCCUGCCACCAGGGACGUCCACGUCACUAUAUCCCUGGCGGGCAUGCUGUCAAACAGCGUCAUGGCAGCUCCAAGGUGGUUGUUCUUCGCGUAGCCUUCAACCAUUGCAUUGCAAGCAAUGCCAUUCCACACGGGCAUUCGAUCAAACAGCGCCUUGGCAUCAUCUAGCUUGCUGCUUCUCAACAGAAUUACUAGCAUUGUAGUGAAAGACACCUCGUCCCUCUCUGGCAUCAUUUCGAAAAACUCAAUCGCUUCAUUCAGCCUCCUGUCGCCAUCGCCAUCUUGCGAAUGUGCCGCAAGCAUGCUGUUCCAGGCUAUUAGAUCCUGCUCUGGCAUCUCACUAAAGAUCUGCUUCGCAAUGUCGAAAUGCCCACUUGCGGCAUUUGCUGUGAUAAUGGCAUUCCAUGCGACGGUACCAUGUUCGGGCAUUUUCUCAAAAGUAUCCCUUGCCUUUGAAAUCUCUUUGUUUAGUGUGUAGCCUUGCAGCAUUGCGUUGUACGUUAUUUCAUUCCGAACAGGCAUUGAAUCAAACAGAAGUUUUGCGUUUUCCAGAUCCUCGCCUUUGGCAUAUGCUAAAACCAUGGCAGUCCAUGAUACAACAUCCCUCUCCGGCAUGUCCUUAAACAGCGUGCUUGCUUGAUCAAAGUUUCCAAUGUCAGCAUACGCGGCUAUAAUAGUAUUCCAAGAAACAAGAUCUCUUUGAGGCAUCGAAUCAAACAUAGACCUCGCUUGUCCCAAAUGCCCAUUCUGGGCAAGUGCAGACAUCAUGAUGUUCCAGGAGAAAACGUUGGGCUUGUAAAGUUGGUGAAACACCAGCCAUGCUUGCUCGAGCUGCCCACACCUUCCAUACAUGUCUACCAAAAGAUUUCCGAGGUAUCUGUUUGAUCUGUGCUCGCUAGCAUUGAUCUGUGCGUGAACACAUCGUCCUCGGUCGAGGUCCUUGGAAUUGCCGCAUGAUCUGACAAGGGACCCAAACCUCGCGAGCUCCUCGAUGGAUUGCAUUGUUUCUCUCGAGCGCGUGGGCGAUAGCGAUUCAUCCAAGAAUGGUGGAUGCCUCUCGCAAUCUCUUGUGCCAUAUACUAAGAUAUGAUUGUGUCAAAUGCUUGCGAGGCAAGAGCGCAUCGAGCACUAUGCAUCGCUCAUCCGAUCUUGCCAAGAUACACGCCAGGGGAGACAACUCCACGAGCGCGUCCUGGGCAGCGAGUUUCGGAGGAACAGAUACUUGGGCAAUUUGUUGGUAGAGAUGUAUGGCAAAUGCGGGGAUGUAGAGAGCGCAAGGCAGGCGUUCCGAGAGGUCUAUGAGCCCAACACAAUCUCGUGGAAUAUAAUGAUCGCGGCGCUCUCCGAUAACGGCUACGUUGAGGACGCUCGUGCCGUGUUUGAUCAAACGCCUUACAAAGAUGGUGUCUCCUGGAACACCAUUCUUGCAGCAUAUGCCCAAGCGGGGCAUAUUGUAGAGGCGCGUAAAAUCUUUGAGGAAAUGCCAGCGAAAGACGAGGCAUCCUUUACCGCUUUGAUUUCGGCUCUUGGGAGGAUUGGAGAGGUGAGGGCUGCCAAGACCAUCUUUGAUGGCAUGCCGGUGUGGAACACCAUGUCGUGGAACACCAUGCUCCAGGUAUUUUCGACGAAUUCUUAUGUAGAAGAAGCGGAGAAGAUGUUUGAAACGCUGCUGGAGAAGAAUGUUGUGUCGUGGACUGCUAUGAUCGCCGCGUGUGGUGAGCAAGGAAACCCGGAGAAAGCCAGGGGAUACUUUGACACGAUGCCUCUCUUUGAUCUUGUAGCUUGGUGUAGCAUUGUCACCGCAUAUGCCCAAAAUGCGCAUGCUGGAGAGGCCAAGUUUUUGUUCGACAUGAUGCCUGAGCACAACCUGGUCGUCUUUAAUGUCAUGGUUCUGGCUUACGCACAAAACGGAAACUUUGAUGAAGCACGCAGCAUGUUUGAGCAAAUGCCGUUCCGGGACUCAGUCUCUUGGACUGCCAUGGGAACGGCAUAUGCGCAAAAUGGGCAUCUCCAAGAAGCAUGGAAAGUGUUUGAGGUCAUGCCGGAGAAGAACUUGGUAUCUUGGAACGCUAUGAUACAAGCCGUCUCGCAAAUCGGAAGGCUGGAUGCGAUGGCCGAGCUGGGAUACUCUCGGCUGCUCAACGAUCGUAAUAGAAACCAAUGGAGGACUCUGAGAGACAAGAGCGUAGCGGAGGCUCUUGGCCACCUCUAUCUCAUGCUUCUCGAUGGCUGGGAGCCAAACGAGGUGACAUACUUGAGCUUGGUUUCCGCUUGCGGUCACGCAGGGAUGCUGAAAGACGCAUUGUCCCACUUCAAGGCAAUGACUUUCGACCACCGCCUGCGUCCUCAAGCCGGCCACUUCAGGUCCAUUCUGGAUCUCCUGAGCCGCGCAGGGAGACUGGCCGAGGCCAAGGAUCUCAUCCAAAACAUGCCGUUUGUCCCGGAGACUCCUGCGUGGGCGACGCUACUUUCGGCUUGUGGAACACAAGGUGACUCGAGACAGGAAAGUUCUAGCGUUGCACAGAGUGUGCUCGAGAUGAGGUCCGGGAGCUGUGGAUCCUACGUUCUCAUCUCCAAUCUAUACUCCGCAAAGAAGUACGCAAGACAGUGAAUCGCUCUCUGGCGAAGCGACGAACUUAGAGAGCCAAAGUUGCAUCUCUUCCAUGGAAGGACGCCAAAGGAAGGACGGCAUAGACAAAAUGCCAAACUUCUGUGCGUCUCGGUCCGAGGUAGUGACGCUGGCAAGAGACAAGAGGGAAGGCUCAAGCUUAAAGAUCCAAGGACAAGCUCUCCGGUGGGAUUCGAGCGGGAGAGAAGUAGGCCAGCAGCAUCGAAACAAGAGCACACGCCAAAACCAUCGCUCGAAUCAGUAAGAUCAUUAAGAGAACACUAAGUGAAAAGACACAAAGUAGAAGAAAAGAAAAGCCUCCAUUUUUAUUUACAAACGCAAAGUCCCACUAGUACUACGAUCAAUCGUUUUAUCAUGAGCAGCACCCAGCUUUCUUUUUUGUUCUUGGAUCCUCACAGUGAUGGGCGAUGCGAUCGGCGAGGAAAGAGGCAGUUCAUCACCAUCACGUACUGUCGAGAAAGGGAAGCUUGGCGAGGAGCCACAUAUAUAAAUAUACCAUCGCGAUCAUGUCAAAGCUGGCGACGCUCGGGGAGCGAUGGCGCUGGAGCGGAUGAAUUGGAGCACCUCGGGCAUGAACACGUAGCUCACGGUUCCAUCGGGCGUGACGAAUCCAUGCGUCGCGUCCGGAUACUCUACGAGCUUCACCUCCACGCCGCUCUCGCGCAAGAAAUCCGCGUAGGCGACCUGGCGGUCGUGGAGCAAGUCUCGCCCGCCCACGAUCACCAGCGCCGGCGGGAGAUUGCAUGGCAGCGGCUGCGCGGCCGCGAGAGGAUCGCAGAAGGGAUGGUCGCGCGACGCGCCAUCCGGGAGCGCAAGGCUCCACAGCUGGUCGCUCAUGGCGAGCGUGAGGAUGGGGCCGUCGGAGAGGCGGAGCUCCGAGGCGGUCCUGUGCGCGCCACCAAAGAAUGGCUGGAGGAGGAUCUGGGCGGCGAAGCUGAGAGGAGGGAGGAGCGCGCGCUUGCUCUUGGACGACUCGAGCACCAUGAGGAGCGCGUUGUGGACAAUGUUGCCGCCAGAGCUUCCGCCCAUGAAGAUCAAGCUGGAGAAGUCGGCAUACGAGGCUAGCCAGGGAUCCCUUUGAGGAAGAUGGUGGUCGCCACCAUCGCGCAAGCUCGUGAUCUGGUGGUGGUGAUCAUGACUAUCACCAUUGCCAUCCACAGUAGCGCUGGCAGCAUCGCCACCAUCGCCAUCGCUGGUGGAGAGAAGAGCUUGGGCUCGGAGCCAGUGGAGCGCCGAGACGAGGUCUUGGUAGGCGGCGGGGAGGCACGAGGCCGGCGCCAAUCUGUGGUUGAGCGAGACAACAAGAGCAGUGGCAUCAGUGGCUACCUUCUUGCAGAAAUCGUGGUACGAGGACGUGGCGGCGCUGAAUCGGACGAAUCCUCCGCCGUGGACAUGGACCACAAUGGGGAGCUUGCGCUUGGAAUUGAUCUGGAGCGCCGCCGCGGGGAGAUAGAGCCUGACCCACACACGACCAUCGCCACCGCCGAGCUUGACAUCCCGCGACGCCACACCAUCCGCGAAGCUGGAAUCCGCGGCAACCUCGGGGAUUUCCCAGCUCUGCGCGGACGCUGGCGGCCCUGUGGAAUCGCCCAUCAUGCUCUAGCUCUCUCGCGCUCCCGGAGAGAGAGAGAGAGAGAGAGAGAGAGAGAGGCGCGGCGCGGUGAAAGAAUCAAAGAAAUAACUCGUAGAAAACGCGGAGCAAAUCCUGCGCUCCUCCAAUCCAAUCCUGCGCAGCGCUUCUUCCUUCUCCAGGUUUUGUAGCUCUCGCUCCUCUCCGCUCUAGCUACGCGGCCCAAGAGCUUGAUUAGCCACAUUCUUCUUUUUCCAUUGUUUAAGCUUUGCCAUGGACCCUCUCUUGACAAUGCUUCACCAACAAUCACGAAAGUGAAAGGCGCGCAUAAAUAUUCCUCUAAUCGCUCUCUCCUCGCUGCAGAUCUCCCUUGCGGGGUGGAUCUAGAGGAUGAUCUAUGCGUAAGUUAUUUGCACCACACGAGAGGGUGAUUGAUUGAUUAUCAAAUCGCGAUUUGAUAAACCCCGCGGUAUAGCUGUUCCUCAUAUGCGAAUUAUAUCCAUGCGAGCGUGGUCUCGCCUUGGCGAUCUCGCUGUCCACGAGCAUCCGGAUGCUCCACCCCUCGCAAGCAAUUCGCUCUCGAUCGAGUGUAACUCUCUCGCUUUUCCCGCUUAGCAGACAAUGUAAACAAUCGAUCGAUCGCUCUCGUGCUCUUUGGUUGCUCGAGAAUGCUGACAAGAGUUCGCUCUGUGGCAUAGAUUAUCUAAGCAAAGUCUGCGAGUGUGGCGAAGGAGAUCUCCCAGCGACACUUGCUAAAAAAAAAAAAAUCUUGUGCAAAGCACUCGCGGCCAAGGGUGGGAGUGAUGCGUCCAUUGCGAAUGAUUGGCAUAUGAGUUAUCGCGGGUGUAUGAUGAGAUAAUCACAAACCACACUCAAACAAACCAAACAACCUCAACCUUAUAGAAUCGCAAACAUUAUUCCUGGUGGGAAUCCUGGCAAAGACUUUGAAAUUUCUGCCACCACCCGCCCUACCUAGUCUAUGAUCCGAGCGAGCGAACGCGGCAAAACAAAGAGAGAGAGAGAGAGAGAGGAAGAGAAAAAAAAAAGCAAGAAAGAGAGAGCGGAAGAUUCCUUUUUCUCUCAACAAAAGCCGAGAGAGAGAGAGAGAGAAGAAGAGAAAAAAAAGCAAGAAAGAGAGAGCGAGAGAGCGGAAGAUUCUUUUUUCUCUCAACAAAAGCCGAGAGAUUCCUUUAUUUCAACCAAAGCUACCUAUAUUAUUCGAUAUUCGCUUUCUUUCUUCACGGGUGUGACCACUCAACUCCUUGAUUCAUAGGCAAGGUGAUAGAAACUUUAGUUUUUCCUCCAGCGAAACAACGUGGUGGCUGAUGCUCUGACUUGAUCCAAAACAUAUAAUCGAUCGUGCCACCAGAUUUACGAGGAAGCAUACAUCCUCCAUAGCCGCAAGCCAAGACAAGCGACCAAGCGAGCCAAGACGCAAGCUAGCAAUCAAGCAAAGCAGCACAGACACAUGAUCUCAUUCAUCGCAUCAUCGUGCUCAGCGCUUGGGUGAUCUCAUCCUGCAGCGCAAGAUUUGGGAUUGUCGCAGAUUCCUUUGGUUGAAUCCACAACUUGGUCCUGUCGAUCAUGUCCUGGAUUCGUUAAUUCACGCUCUCAUACAGCCCAGUCACAGCUCACUUUCUUCCUUCCCAGAGUGGAAGCAAAGCAAAUCACACCGAGGGAGAGACGAAGAAAAGCGCCGAGACAAAAUCCAAACCACAAGACGUAUGCUUCCGUGUGGCAGAGCCGUAGCUCCACCAUGAAGCCAAAAAAAAAAAAAAAGGAAAAAUAGUCGAAGAAAAGAGUACGAGAAAGAAAAGGAAGAAAUAUACCUACGUGCUACGUACAAACAAAUGCAUGAGACGCGACAAAGCAUGAAUGGGAGAGAGAGAGGCCGAGGAAAAAAAAAAAAAAAACUGAUAGAAGAGAUGGAAAAACUAUUCUUUGUUUCUAGGAGGCAUCUGAAAAGGGAGUAAUACCUCUGUGUCCACUGAAGCGAUGUCCUUGCUUUUCUCGCCGCGGCCUUGCUUCAAUUCAAGCCUUGGGUCUGAGUCUUGCUUCUCUCUCGCUCUCUCGUACUGCUCGUCUCGUCUGGAGAGAUUCCAGUUGUUUAGUAUUCCAAAAUCAAGCACUUAAGUACCUCCUUCUCUUUCUCCUGGAGUCCGAGCCAUUUACUCGGAAGGCUUGGAGGGGUCGCUCUUUGAUAGCCUUCCGUAGCACGGGAUGUAAGUUGUAAUUUAGACUGGGAUGGUUCCUGCCUGGCAAGCUUGUAUAGUUUCAAACCAAAAAGAAAAGGAGAAAGUUGCUUACGAAGGUUUACGUCUGAUCUUUCCAGAUGAUGUCUUUGAGUCCCGUUGUGAACGACUGGUGGAACUGCGCAGCGACAGCAUAUUGUUAAUGUUGAUGGCGAGGAAGAGAAAUAAAGAAGAGUCAAACAGUUGCCUUGUGAUACUCGAGUGUAUCGCCACCAGAUUUCCGUAGCUCCACCACGUAAAAAGACGGUGCAACUUCGAAGACCUGAGAGCAGAGCUUUUGUACGAGAGAAUGAGAACCAAAACGCUUUACCUCCGUGCACACCGAAAGAUGGCCUUUCCUACCUCGCUUUGACCCUUGCAGCGUCAUCUGAAGGAAAGUGCUUGUCCAACUCAUGCAAUCCUUUUUAGAACUAUACCUUGUAGUUCCUCUUCUGGAUAUGGAACCCCAGCGGUCUCGCAGUUUCUUCUAUUGUUCUCACAAUCUCUUUCGCAGGAUGUUUCGAUGUGAACCGUGACUCGCGUUCCACCUCCUACAACAAGUUACGCGAUCGUGAGCAUCUCUAUAGAGAGGAAAGAUAAAUGCUUGAGGAUACUUACACGAUGCUCGAAAAGGCCUGACAAGUUGAAUCCUCGCGACAUCGAUAUGAUCUCAAAAGCAUUCAUGGUGACUGGUUGUGGCUCCUCUUUCUCCGCCACAAGAUGAUCCUGCAAGAAAAUUUCAGUUCUCUUUCAUGUCAAUUUGCCAGACACGCCGUCCUACCUCAGAGCCAUUAAACACCGCAUCAAUGUCGUCAAGGUUGGGACUUUGUUCCUUUCCAAGUGUCAUUGGUUUGUGUUCGACUUGAAACCACUCAUUGUCCAUUAUCCUGGAGAUGGAUAUGCGCUGACGCACAAAUUCGGAAAAGGGCGAGAGAGAGACCAGCACAAGCAAAUAUUACUACAUCAAUGAUGCCAAUUUAAUUCUUACUGAUUUCGGAUUUGGAUCCAGUAUCUUUUGUACAAGCUUUCGGGAGCCCCUUGAAAACCAAUGCGGAAAUGUAAAAUCUGCGCGAUGCAUCUAAUUCGCAUUUAAUUCAUGUCAGCUGAACAGGAAAAACAACCAAACAGAUGUUUUCAUACCUUCUUGUACAGUGCCACCAGAUUAGGCUCGUCAAAUGGCAAGUAUCCAGCCAAGAGGACGUAUAAAACAAUUCCGCAAGACCAGAUAUCGGCUUUGAAACCGUCGUAGCCUUUGUCACUGAUGACCUGUAGAACGAUAAGUUCACACAAGCUAAAACAACAAGCAACGCAGUUACCUCGGGAGCUACGUAGUUUGGCGUUCCACACGUUGUAUGAAGAAGGCCAUCCGACUGUAAAAUCAUUCACUAAUUUAAUGAGCGAGUUCUCUUAUGGUGAACUUAACUCGGCACUGUUGAGGAAGGGCACUUAGACCGAAGUCUGAGAUUUUCAAGUUUCCAUCUGAAUCCAAUAGCAAGUUCUCUGGCUGCCAAAACAAACGCUUCUAAGUCGAGAGCUCUACAAAUAUCAGUUCGUUUCUUUCGAGAAUCACCUUUAAGUCACGGUGGCAGACACCCCUGCUGUGACAAUAAUCCACAGCAUCGAUCAGUUGCUGGAAAUAUAUUCGGGCUUUACGUUCAUCUUGCUUUCCCUCUCGCGCCUGGACGAAAAAGAAAUAAAAAGAAAUCUAUGUCAUUCUUUAAUGAAAAACUGUCAGAUGCCUUACGAUCUUGUCAAACAUUUCUCCACCUGUGACAUAUUCCAUAACCAUAUAAAUCUUGGUCUUGCUGCCUAUAACCUGUAAAGGAAAGUCUCACCACCAAAAAAGAAGAGCUUUGGGAAAUGGUUGAAAUAUAAGCUUACUUACCUCAAACAGCUGAAUGACGUUGGGAUGUCUCACCAGCUUCAUUGUAGAAAUUUCGCGUUUGAUCUGUAAAGUUCGUCAAGAUGACCAGCAAUGAAAGCGAGCUCGACCAUUUCUGCUUUACCUGAUCGACCAUCUUGUGCUUCAAAAUCUUCUCCUUGUCCAAGAUCUUAAUCGCGACGCUCUCGUUCGUCUCCAAGUUCCUGGCGUACUUGACCUUGGCAAAAGUACCUUCUCCAAGUGUCCGUCCCAGCUCAUACUUCCCAACGCGAGUUCUCCGGUAGCUCAUUCCUUCCCCCUCUGGAUGGAAUUCCUAAUCCUCAAGAGCGACACAACGCAUUUGAUCCCAGUCACAGGCUCGAGGAGAUCGCCGAGGGAAACAAGAUCCAGGCCGGAAGAUCAAGCGUGCCGAGUGGAAAUGCAGCUGCGAACAAGCCAAGAGAAAGUGAUGGGUGGAUCCAUGCAAUGCGCGCGGGCUGGCGAGCGAGACAUUGAUUACCUGCCGUGCCCACCGAGAAACCCUAAGUCGCGAGUCGCAAGAAGCCGCGCACUGUUCCAUCGGCGAGGAAGAAGAGAAGGAGCCGCCUCGUUGGAACAGGGGGGCGGGCCGUACACGUCACGACGCGGCGGCGUACGGACGUGGUCCAGAAAGACAGGAACUAAUUAGGGCAACGGUGGCGCCACCAAAAGAGCAUUGGGGGCGUGGUUUUCGCUCGCCGCGAUUCGAGACAAUCUUUGGAUGUGCCACCAACCUUGUGUGCAUUAUACACAUAAAAAUCAUACAAUUGUUGUAAAUGUGGGUGCUGGUUUUCCAACAAAAGAUUUGAUAGAGAGCAUCGAAUCAUAUCGCACCGCCAAAACACUUUGUCCGUCCAUUGUCUCCUCUAGAGCGCUUAUUCGCGGGCUAGAGUCGUGGUAAAAACCGCGGUGAAAAAAACCGGGCGCGGUAAAACAGCGGCGACAAUUUGGUGGCGCCAACUUCCUAGAAAGCUUGCAAAUCCACCUAGGGCCUGUGGCGACGCCAAAUUUAAGAAAGAUUUACCAAAAUUACCACACCACCCGUGCGUUUUUCACCUUUGACCACGGACCAGGGCAUAUUCCCCGCCCGGGAAUCCUUGGCUUCGCUGGAGGGGAGAUCCGGAAUCGUUUAGUUUUCUUGUUUCGUGGGUGCCGGCUGGCGCAAACGGGAGGAGUGAGGAACACUUGACAAACACAAUGUCAAAUCCAGAUUGAAUACCAAUUUGGCGAAUAUCCCCCCAAUCUCCAUAUUUGUAAAGUAGAGAAGCGAGAGAUUUGUUUGGCGCCGGGAUCAUGAUCAUAUGCCAAGAUCUCUGCGCAAAUCUUUCCAACAGUGCCAAGGUCAUGCUCAUGCGCAACAAUUGGAGCGAGUCGAGAAGAGACACUCCGCAGCCGUGAUUUUUGUAUGGAUUCUUCGUGACGAAAGUGGGGUCAAAUGGGUUUUGUAUUGUUAUGCUUGGGCCACAUUGACCAGCUCUCUAAUUUCCGCCACGCACAACCAUAUCCCAAAUCUUUGAAAAAACAAAAGCGAAAAGGCAAAAUCUUUGCGCAACAAAAGGUGGCGGACCAAACUAGACAUCUAAAUUUUUCUAAGCUUCUCGUUUCCGAUCAUACAGCUUAGGUACCUGCCUAGUGUUUGAAGCCAGGCGAAAAUCAAUCAAUGUAACUCCCGGCUUUUCACUUUUGACCGCGCGGUAAGAAACCGUGUUUUUACCCAGUCGUGGUGGACGAGAUUCGCCAGGAUCUCGCCGGAGGUUGUUUGCCGGCGCCGGGACCUCAGCAAAUCCGCCAAAGAUUUUAUAGCGCCCAGCAAAUAAUUUAAAAACCAUGGAAAUUUCAGCGAAUCAUAUCUCCAUCCUGGGGGCUCGUCAAUCUGACAGAGCCAAACCGACGACCGACGGCUGCGGUCACGACACGUGUCAGAGGAGCGUUUACCGGACAGAAUACGUCAGUCUAAUCAGUCAGUGUGAUGGCUUUGCUUUGGCAUUCAUUCGUUUGUUUGUUCAUUCUUUCUUCUCUUUUCUCUCGCGUCGCAUCGACAGCUCCUCAUCUACGGCGUCAAGGAUUCCAUCGAUCGAUCGAUCCAUCCGCCAGGUCGUCAAUCGCGCGGCGCUCGCGGCAGUCGCGGCGCGGCUCGAUCGGCGGCACGGAAAGAGGUAUGUGGAUUUGGGCGAAAUCGCGGAGAUUUUCUGGCAUGGGAAGCGGCAGCAAGGGCGGGAUCGAAGCGGAAGAAGCUGCCUGUGAUGCGUGACGCAAUGCUCGCGCGGAGCAUUGGAGCUCUCCUCUCCAUCGCCGAUGAUGUCCUGUCGAGCCUGGUGGAUUAUCGGAGCAGCAAUCGUCUAGGAUUGGAAUUGGAGCAGGGAGGAGGAGGAGCGAUCCAUAAUCUGGCCAGGGCGGGUGUAAUGCAGGAGGGAUCGCCGAGUCCGGCCGUGGAGACAGGGAAGCUCUUCAAGGAGGUAUCCAGGGCAUUUAGCGGUAGCAACCAAAAGGAUGAAUUCCUGGUCGCGUCCACCACUAGCACGACGAGCAGCUCCUCGUCGCCUCAUGCAUUGCUCGCGUCCAGCGCGCAGCAGCUCAAGCACAGAUUCAAGACGUCACACAAGAGAUCUCGCCUCGAGGAGCUCCUCAUCGAGUCCACGCACUCGGAGAAAUUGGGAUCGUCUCACACGGCGCUCCCAGGGUCAGGGACAGGGACAGGGCUGGACAAGCUAGUCGUGACUUUGGCACUGCUUUUAUCCUCGGCCAUCUUGCUCGUGUGGUACUUGACGCCGGCCGCGGUACUGGUUUGGGCCGUCCCGGCAGCGAUGGUGUCACUGGCGAUUUGGACGAGAUUUGUUCGCUGCGAUCCGCCGAGUUCCAGGGAGAUUUGCGUGCAAGGGCAGUGUUCCGGGUGUAGAGUAGUGAGCCAGGACAAGCAAGAGGAGGAGGAGCAGCAGCUGGCCCAGCGAGCUCAUCGUGCCAAGCAACAAUUCAUGGCUUAUGUGUUCCAUAACAUAAGAGGUGAGUUCGUUGCUAGGCUAGAAGUUUCUUUUUCUUUCGCUCUUCCGUAUAGAUGGUGCGAGAACUAUUUCGUGAUUUUCUGACGUACCUUUGGCUUCUCCGUGCAGUCCCUUUCAAUGCGAUCGUCCUGGGAUUGGGUCACAUGCGUGCUUCAGCGUCCGGGGAUGACUCCAGUUCCGGGGAGCUAGACUUGGUGCAACUAAUGCUAGACUGCGCCGAGACAAUGACAAACGUGCUUGAUGAUGUUACUGAUAUGGGUAAGGUGUCCAUGUCUCGACUCGAGUCUCGACUUUUACUUAUGAUUGUUCUCGACAUAACUAACGAAUGAUCGGUCAUCCACAGGAAACUGGGAGGAGGGGCGCAUUGAGCUUCACCGAGAUGUGUUCGACUUACUGGCGGUGGUGAAGUUCCUGGCGUGGGGUUUGAAAGAUUUGCUCGAGCAGAAACAAAUAUCUCUCAACAUUGAUAUCGAUCCGGUCGCCAGCAAGAUUUUGAAGUCCCACAACAUUGUCGGUGACAAGCACCGGACUGUACAGACGCUAGGUAAUCAAACUCCUCCACGUCUGACUCUCACUCACGCUCUGCGCAAGCAGGCAAUUUUCUCAGUAAUGCCGUCAAGUUCACGCCUACCGGGGGAAAGCUCGACCUGGAGAUCAAGUGUCAAGAGCUCGACGGGGUCCCGGUCUCAAACUCCAAAGGCUUUGAGACCGACGAGUUAGAGCACAAGUCCCUGGAGCUCUUUAUUGCCGUCAAUGACUCUGGCGCAGGUAACGUUUCUUUCUUCGCGAUCGCGAUGCUUUGUUUUGUUCUGACUUGAAAGUCUGGUGCUCGGACAGGAAUUUCCUUAGAUGACCAAGACAGACUCUUCGAAGCGGACUCUUUCAUAUCGUCUCCUUGGGUCCAGAAAGCUGGUGUUUCCGGCCUGGGCUUAAGUGUUGCGAAACGCUUCAUCGAACAGAUUGGUGGUCAGAUCGGGGUACGCUCGCGGGACCAAGGAAGUACGUUCUUCUUCUCCGCUCCAUUUCUGCUGGUUCCGAUACAAAAGCGCACGAACUCGUCAGUCCCGGCCUCUGGGAUCUUCUAUAACAUGAGGUCUACAGACUCCGUAAGCAAAGAGAAGCGAAAGUUGGAACGCCUCAGUGACCUUGACGCCCAACUCAAGUGUUCGCCGGGUGCUGUGCUGCCACAAGACGCCUCUCCGUGCAGGAGAAAGGUGCUGCUAGUGGAAGACACGCGGAUAAACAGAGUAAGUCUCGUCUUUGGCUAUAUCGGUGCGCAUUUUACUUACCAUCAUCUUGGCUGUACGUACAGAUUAUCUUGCGGAAGGUUCUUCAGAACCUCAAUCUCCAAUGCGACGAGGCAGAGAACGGCCAGAUUGCUGUCGACCUGCACAGGCAGGGCAAGUCCUACGAUCUGGUGUUGAUGGACAAGGAAAUGCCUGUCAUGGACGGACACGAGGUAAGAGUUCUUAGAACUGAGUUUUCCUUUCUCUCCAAAGUAUGCUAACGUAAGUUCCUGGCAGGCAACUAGAGCUCUGAGGAUGAUGGGUGUGAAGACUCCAAUCGUGGCCUUAACUGGCAAUGCUUUGCAGUCGGACAAGGAGCUCUUUUUCGAAGCCGGGGUGAAUGAGUUUCAAACAAAGGUAUGGAAGGAAACGUAAAUGCUCGUGGACAGACAGGAGUGCUGAUGCUCUCGCUUUUGCCGUGGCAGCCUUUGUCUAGAGACAAACUUAUCCAGCUCCUGGCAAGAUACGGAGUUGAGAGCUCAUCGCCACCGGUGGCUUUGCAACUUUGUCGCGAGUAAGCUGCCCAGCGACGAGCGAUCAAGGAGCGACAACAUACAGAGUUUUCAAGGGAUUGUCUUUUUGGCGGGACAGGCAAGCCCGGUUGGGAAAUUUGUAUAGACUCACUCUAUUAUGUACAGCUUUUUAGUGGAGCAUAGGAAUCAAAGAGAGGGACGAGAGAAAAGAAAGAUAGAAAGAGAGAAGAAGAAAAAAACCAUGGAAGCUCCAUUCAGCUGAAACAAAUGGAAAGAAGGAACUUAGAAUUUUUCAGUGCGCUAUGUCUGGAAAGGAAGAUCUUGGAGCUGUUUCAAUACAUCCCGGCUCUGAGAUGGCGGUCAAGUCUCUCGGCAUUGAAAGUUCCCGGAAUCUCGUGAAAAUCAUCGUUGAAGAUUGAGUAGGCACUGCACGGCACGUAUCCUUGUGAUCUGGAAUGGAAUGGAAGAAGUCUUCGUACCUGAUGUCGCCCUCUUGCCGCUUUCCCAGAUUCCAAACGAUGAGACAAAAGAUCGUUGCGAUUAUCUGCGACAGUGGUGUUAGUAGUAAAGAACACACAAAACAGCACUGUUUCUUACGUAGAGAUGGCCCAAGUCCCACGAAAUGGCGUAGCCAGCGACGAUGAGCCAGAGCAGGACCAUCAUCCAUCUUCUGAAACCAAAAGAGAAGAUGAUCAUCAGCACGAAGUCUGCUCAGAGAAAAAAUCACACCAGUGUCCAUGCUCACGCUUGAUGUAUGAUAAAAAAGGACAAGCUACCUGGAAACUUGAGCUUGUGCUUCAAGAACUGUACGAGUCUUCUCUCGAGCGGGGAUGCGGUCGCGGGAAGCUUGAAUCUCUGGACACACACAAAACACACUUAAAACCAACAAGAAGAUUGCUCAAAGGAAAAAAAACAAGAAAAACUCUCGUACCAAGUCAUCAUCCUCGUCUUCGUUUUUGCUCUGCGAGUGCACCGAAGGCGCCUUGGGUGGAAGAAGCACCAGCAACGAGUCUAAAAGGAAGAAGAAGAAGAAAAAAACGAUGAAUUCCACUCAAGAAAGAAACAAGAGUUAAAAAAUGUCCAUAGUCUCACCUCCAGCUCGAAUGUCGACAGUGGAGUAAUCAUCAGCAGCACCGAGAGCCUUGCCUCUAAACACGAGCUUCAGUCGAUUCACUUGAGAAUCCUCCACUAGGCCAAGCUCCUGGCUCACCAAUCUCCGCAACACACCGAUCUAGUAGAAAUCCCGCUCAUCAAUCGGAUCGAUUGGAUCAAUCGAUCGGCCACUCACCUCGCAUAGCGGCUCCACCUGGAUCACCCGGCGCCGCCGCGCGAAUCCAGCGACCUUGAGCUCCAGCGGCACCAUCCCCGGCGAGAAACCCUAGAGGUAGCGCUUUCGAAAUUUCCCGUUUAACGGGGGGGCUUUGUUCUUGGCUCUAUUUCAUUGCUCCAGCCAAAAUGGGAAGAGCUACUGCGUGAGCGAUGAAGGAUUCCGCCAAAAGGUUUCUCCUCCUCCCUUUCUCCGGCCUCCUGCCAUCGUCAAUCUGCGUCCUCCUCGCCGCCGCGCUCGUCUUCUUGGCAGCUCUCACGAUCCCAAACCUGGGACUGGGAUUCUCACCGCCGCUGGAGCUCCUCCUCAUCCAUCCCUACGCGCCGAUCGCUCAAUCGCCUGGGAAUCUCUCCACCGCCGCGCCACCGAGCGAUCCAGGUAGCCGAUCGGUGCCAAAUCUUGCUCAAAAUAUUUCGGUGCCAGCUCGAGGAGGAGGAGGAAGAGGAGGAGGAGGAGGAGGAGGGGAUUCCAUCGAUCGCGAGGCGCGAGUGUGCGAUCUCUACACAGGCAAGUGGAUGCCGGAUCCGCGCGGUCCCCUGUACCGCAACGAUGCGUGCCCCAUUCUUUCGCAGGCACAGAACUGUCAAGGGAAUGGAAGGCCGGACAGAGAUUACGAGUCUUGGAGAUGGGUGCCCGAUGGCUGCGGCCUUGCGCGCUUCAACGCCACCGAGUUCUUGCGCAUCAUGCGAGGCAAGGUCCUGGGAUUCGUGGGCGAUUCCGUGGCCAGGAACCAGAUGGAAUCGCUCAUGUGUAUCCUAAUGCAGGUAAGAGGAUCGUUCUAGCUCUUCUUGCUUCUCGCUUUCCUGGAUUGAUCUAGCUAGUUCUCAUUUGCUUGCUCUCCUAGGUAGCCAGUCUCGAUCGCGAUCAAUGUAGGUACUCUUUUUCCUGAUCGGAGUAGUAGAUGCUAGAUGGUUUUUUUUCCUCUCUUUCUCUCGAUCGCGGACUAACUGUGAGCUUCGAUUACCACACCAGGUGGAGAACCCCGUGAACAAAGGCAAUAAGAGGAUGCAACGCUGGUUUUUCCGCUCGAGCAAGGUCACCAUCGUCCGGAUCUGGUCGUCAUGGCUGGUGAAAUCCACACCCGGCGACGCCUCGGUGAAGAGCGCAACGAGAAUUCACAUCGAUCAACCCGACGCCAACUUCAUGGACUUCCUUCCCAGCGUGGACGUGCUCGUCAUCUCGUCCGGCCACUGGUUCGUGAAGAAGUCGGCGUUCAUGCGGGGUGGCCAGGUGGUGGGAACUCAGGGGUGGCACAGGCCGAACGCGACCAUGACCACCAGCAAAGCCUUCGCAGCGUCCAUGACCACGGCCCUCACCGCCAUCGCCGCCAGCCGGAACUACAAGGGACUCACGGUUUUUCGGACGUUCUCGCCGGAUCACUACAUCGGGGGGUCGUGGAACACGGGAGGGUCGUGCACGGGGAUCACGAAGCCUCUCACGGACAACGAGGUGAAAAGGAUUGGCAGCAGCGUCUUCACGAGCGAGAUGAGGCGGAUCCAACUCGAGGCGUUCGCGGAGGCGAAGAGGAACGCGAGCGGAGGAGGAGCCAGGCUCGUGCUCAUGGACGUGACUCGGGUGUUUGAGUACCGGGCAGACGGGCACCCGGGAUCGUUUCGAAGCAAAGAUCCCAGCGGCAAGGUGGCGGCGCAGGACUGUCUCCACUGGUGCAUGCCUGGACCUGUCGAUACGUGGAACGAGUUUUUGCUCCACAUCAUCGUCACGCACAAGAUCAACACGGCGGCUUGAUCCAUCAUCCAUUCUUUCGGGAAGCUCUCCAAUCCAUCUGUAAGUUUUGAUUCUUUGCAAGGGAAAGAAAGUUGCUACGAGACGAUGCUGGCGAGCAUCAUGUAAGGUGCUGAAUUCCCCGGCUCUAGCUCCGAUGCGUUCUCGGCUGCUCGAGCUGCGAGCUCGGCCUCGCGGUGGAGCUUGCAAGCGCUGAGCAUCGUCUUCCACGAGACGGCCUCGGGAAGAAAAGGCAUGGUUUCUACGAGCUCCUGUGCGUCGUCAAGCCGGCCCGAUCGACCGAGAGCGUCCACCAUGCAUCGAUACUGCUCCCUCGUCGCCUCGAUUCCAUAGUCGCUCGCCAUGGACAGGAAGAAGCUCCGGCUCUCCUCCACCAUUCCCAAGUGGCUGCGCGCUGCCAGGACGAUCGUGGCUGCGACCUCGUCGAUCUCCCAGCCUUCGUGGCUCAUGAUCUGGAAGAAGCCCAUUGCCCUCUUCCUAUCGACGCUGUAGCCAGUGAGCAUUGCGUUCCAGGAGAUGGUGUCGCGAGCAGGCAUUGUGUCGAAGAUCCAACGCGCUUCGUCCAGAUGCCCCUUUUGGGCAUUCACUGCGAUCAUGGCGUUCCAGGCUAUAAGAUCUGUGGCUGGCAUUUUCUGGAAGAGAUCUCUAGCCUCGACAAGCUUCUCGUGGCGAGCGUAUCCAGUGACCAUGAUAUUCCAAGCUAGAAUGUCCCUGAACUCCAUCGAAUCGAAGAGUUUUCUGGAUUCUAGCAAAUGCCCUCUCUCGGCAUAUGCAGAGAUCAUCAAAGUCUGGAUCACAACGUCCAAAUGCUGCAUCGAAUCCAUAAUGUUUUGAGCCUCCUCGAGAAUCCCGUGCUGGACGUAGCAUUUGAUCAUCUCGGUUUGCGAGAGCAUGUCGUGCUCGUCGCGCUGGAUGGAAUCGAAGACCAGCUUUGCUUGCUGGAUCAUCCCGGCUUGCGAGUAGGCCGCGAUCAUCAGGGUCUUAGCAAUCACGUCCCUCUCGGGCAUCGCAUCAAACGCCUCCUUGGCGUCGGCGAGGCUGCCAUCGCGGACAAGGGCGUGGAAGAGGGCAUUCCACGUCACCGUGUGUCGCUGUGGCAUUUUUGCAAAGACAAGCCUGGCUGUGCCGAGGUGGCUCGCCGCGUCAGCUAGCGCUUGAAAGAGAGCCGUCCACGUCACUACGUUUCUCUCCGGCAUGGAGUCAAACUCCUGCUUGGCCUCGUCCAGGUGACCGUUGGCGGCCAGUCCCGACAUGAGGCUCGUCCAUGUCACUAUGCUUACGAGAGGCAUCUUGUGGAACGUGGCGCGGGCACCAGCCAGCUGUCCCUCUCGUGCGUAGCCAAAGAGUAUAAUAUUCCACGUCACUAAGCCACGUCCGCGUGGCAUCUCAUCGAACAAGCUUUUAGCACGAUCAAAAUGACCAGACUGGGCAUAUGCUGAGAUCAUAGUGUUCCAAGAACGCUCAUUGUAACAAUCUAGACUGUCAUACGAAUAAUUGCCAUAAGUUGUUAGGGCACUGGAGUUAGAGCUAGUGAUAUGAUCUGAUAUGGACCUUUGGCCUUUCUCAAGCAAAACGUUGAAGAGUUUUUCGGCUUCCUCAAGAUGCCCAGCUUGGGCAUUUGCUGAGAGAAAAGCGUUCCACACGACUGUGUCGUGUUGUGGCAUUCUAAAGAAUGUGGCAGUGGCGGAAACAAGGUCUCGGUUCUCUGAGAAUGACUGAAGCAAGAUGUUCCAGGAAUAAGAAUUGCGUUGCGGGGUGGACUCGAAAACUUGGAAUGCCUCCGCUGGGCGAUUGCAGCGUCCAUACAUGAGGACGAGGAGAUUGGCGAGGAAGGUGUUGGAGCUGUGGCGGCUGUGGAUGAUAGCGGCGUGGGCUUCUCUCCCGCGCAAGAGAUCCCGGGCAUCGAUGCAGCUCCUCACUGCCUGGGCGAGUCGAUCCUUCUCGCCCACCAUGGUGGAGAUUAAAAAAAACGAGCAGAGAAUAUGCGACGCAUCGCUCUGGGCCUAGGUUUUGGUUUUGAUGCGUGGCGGAGCUGGGAGGUGGAGCGUCUGGAAUGCAGGGCAUGCUGCGCCACGAUCUUCUCGCCGGCACUGAUGUCACAACAGCUGCUCCUGGCGAUUUCCUCCAUUUCAAGGCUCACGUCCCUCUGCGACAUAUCUGGGUACGCAAUCGAUCGAUCACUCCAUCCCUAUUCAUCCAUGAUUCUCGAUCGAAAUCUCCUCUCACAGGUGGGAAACAAGCACUGGCGGUACUACCAGUCGGGACCAAAGCUCUUGCCGCCUUUGGUGUGCCUGGGAGGGACUUCCUCCACUGCCGAGGUCUUCUACAAGAUUAUUCUCUCCCUCUCCGCCAAGGUAUUGCUCUUCCUUCGUUCUUCUUCCUUUUGUUCAUGCAUUUUGUUGUUUAGAGACGUUGUAAACGUAUUUUUCGAUUCUUCUUUCAGGGCUAUCACGUAAUUGCUGCUGAUGCUCCUCCCGUGUGGAGUCACCAGGAAUGGAUCGCUUCGUUCGAGAAGUUUUUGGAUCAAAUUGGUGCACACCAUGUAAGUAUGAUACAAGGUGUGCUUCCGGAAUUUUUCUAAUGUUUCUCUCUUUGGUUUUUGUUAAGGUUCACUUGUAUGGUACUUCUCUCGGUGGGUAUUUGUCGCAGCUAUUUGCUCAGCAGCGUCCGAGGAGAGUAAAAUCGCUACUUCUCUCAAAUACGUUCUUGGAAACACACACUUUUGCUUCAAAAACUUCUUGGAAACCAUUGUGAGUAAGAACUUUCUGCUGUUUUUGAUCAAAGACUUCGCUUCUUACAGGAUAAGUUGGACGCCCGAGUUCAUGCUAAAGCGAUACAUCCUCUCAGGAAUUCAUGAGGGGCCGCAAGAACCUCUCAUUGCCGAUUCAAUAGAUUUCGUGGUCUCCCAGGUAUGUGCCUCAUUUUGAGGAACUUCAUAUCCUACGUUUCGAUUCCCGACAGUUCGAGACCCUUUCCCGCGAAGAUCUCGCAUCACGCUUGACACUCAACACGUCUCCUGCUGCAGUAGGCCAGAUCACACUCCCGGACUCGUGCAUCACCAUCAUGGACGUAAGCAUUCCCGCCUUUCGAGACAUUUACUAAAGCUUAACUUACAGACGAAUGACUACUGUGCCAUCCCGCAGUCUCUCAAGGACCAAGUGGCUGCCAGAUAUCCCACCGCCCGAAGAGCCAUGCUAAAGUCCGGUGGAGAUUUCCCCUUCCUCUCUCGAGCAGCCGAAGUUUCACUUCACGUACAGGUAGCAGCGAUCUCGUCUUUUCCCCUGAUCCUCGUAACUUUGCCUCGCAGCUCCAUUUGAGGAGAGUGGGAGUGGAAGGCGUUCCCGACGCUCGUCCAAUCCCAUCCCCUGGGAGUGGUGGAAGCGGGGACUCCGCCGGCGACGAUCAAUACCAAGGCCGGAGCCCCGACGGAGACCGAAGCUCUGCCGCGAGAGACGAGCCAUCUUCGAGCAGUCCAGCAGCCACCGACCGGAGCUUCUCUCCAAACGCCACGGACUCGUUCAAGCGACUCGGUCUCGCAAAUCACCUCCAGGCCGACUUGCAAAUCUCUCACCUCUUUUCUUUGCUGUGUUUGUUAGCCGCUGUACAAGAAUUUUGGUUUUGUUCGCCAGUAGCUACUUGUCCGAGCUUGAAAGUUUGAUCGUUUUCUUUGUUCUUGUAAUUUACAACCACCUUUUUUUUCUACCAAUCACAAGUUGGUUUUAGUAACCCUACCACCUUUUUUUCAUGCGUACCUACCUUUAUCCUGCCACCUUUUUUUCAUGCGUACCUAUCUUUACCCUACCACCUUUUUGCCCAAGCCCUACCACCUUUUUACCACCUUUUUAUGACACGAAACGUGCCCUUUGUCGCAACGCUAUGACAUUGCACAUGUUAAAGAGCGUGGAAAGUUUCAAUACUCAAUCAAAUCCGUGUUGUGCACUACUUGCAAAAUUCUUUCCUCAUCGUCAAGUGACGUUACAAUGGAAAAUCGUUGUUAAAAAAGAAUACUCGCGUGUCGGGUUAGCGGCCAAGACUUGGAAGAAUAGGAGGGAACGCGACGAUUUCCCGUCAACACCAAACCGUUGGAAUUGCUGGUGGCGGUGUUCUUGAGCUAGAUCUCUGCUGUUCUUCCACCAGAUUCAAGGCCUGGAGCAGCUUGGGCCAGCUCUCGCUCACGCCCCCGCGAACAUCAAAAUUGACCAGCUUCCCCUGCUUGCGGUAGAAAUCCUCCACUGGUUUGCUCUCCUCGUCGUAAACCUGGAGCCUCUUCUGGAUGCUCUGCUCGGAAUCGUCCUUCCUCGUCACCAUCUUGUCCAGGCACUGGAUCGGCGGAGGAAUCGCUGGCAUCCUCAGAUCGCCCACUGAAACAUCGGCCAUGCUGAACACUCGCCCACACUCUCCACACACCCUCCGGCCCAGGCACUUCUGGAUCAACACCUCGCGCUCCUGGGCGAAGUUCACAGCUACGUGAACGUCCGCUAUCUUGUCUAGCACGAUCGCCUGGUUCACCGUCCUGGGGAAUCCGUCCAGGAUGAAUCCCUUGUCGCCCCUGGCAGCCCCCGCCUGGAGCCGCGAGUGGAGCAAUUCGAACACCUCCUCGUCGCCCAGGAGCUUCCCCUUGCUCACAACCUCGGCGAUGCGCCGGGACAUGGAGCUCACCUUCUUCAUCUCCUCGCGGAUCAAAUCGCCAGUGGAGAUGUGAGGAACGUCGAGCAGCGCCGCGAGCUUGAUCCCAAACGUCCCCUUGCCGGCUCCCGGCCUCCCCAGCAACACCAAAUUGAGCUCUCGCUGCUUCCGCGGCUCCUCCUCCAUCGCCUUGCAAAUCUCCGGCAUCAAACCUUGGUGGUGAUCCUCCUGCGAGAUCGGUGGCAGUGGAAGCGGAUCCACGAUCGUCUUCUUCUUCUGGCAGUGGCCCAUCCCGGACAACCUGUUAGCUAUCCCAGAGAUCUGGGGCAUUGCUCGUCUCCCUGCUAGCGCCAUUGUGUCUCUUCCUUUUCCGAUUAGGCCACAAGAAAGCCCUCUCUCUCAUAUACACGGAAAAAGGGCAGUAAAGGAAUAUCCCGCGUGGCUUGACCGGUCAACAGUCGGCGGGGGGUCAACCAUCAUUCGCGGUCAAAAGCGCGCGCGUGGAAGAGAAACGUGGAAAGUGCUUUUACCACUAGAAGUUACCAGUGACGUCGUAGUCUCACCCACGCCACGGCACCGACCACCGCGCCGCCCAGAUGGCCUACGUGGCUUAUGGUGGAUGCCACCUGGCAAGCAGACAAACAAGCAAGCCAUUAGAGAACGCUUCCCAAAACUUUGGAAGAAACCACGCAAGAGAACUUACAUCGGAAACUCCCCACAAAUCCUUGAGGAUCAUGUAAGCUCCCUGUGGAGUGAGCGAUCGCGUCAAAUUCUCACAGCAUUGGAAUGGGAAAAACAAAAACUUAGGAAAGAUCGAUCGCUUACAAACAGGGCAGCUGGGACUGGGAAGAGGAAAUCGACCAAGAUGACGCGCGUUGGAUUGAGCAUGAUGUUGAGGACCACCAGCGCGUUGAUGGCUCCACUGGCGCCCUGUGGAAAAAACGUGUCGCGCAUCAAACAGCACGCGAGAGAUAGAGGAAGAUCACGCUUUUCUCUCGACUCACCAGCGCUGGUGGGACAAAUCGGGCCACAAAGGUGCUGUGACGAAGCCCCUGGGAAAACCAAAAAAUGUGAAUGACGAUACGAGGAUCCAGAAGAAGAAUCGCUGCGCUUUUAUCGAACCUUGAGCCAGGGAUAGAUGUAAUAGCUAUAAGCCAAGUGUCCGAAGGAGCUAACGAGGCCACCCGCAAAGUAGAUCAUGUAGAGCCUUUUGCUGCCGAAUCUAUAAGCGAUCUGCGAAGCGGAGUGAGCACGCGAGAGAGAGCGAAGAUCCGGAUCGAAAGAGAACAGGAGAGAUCACAAGACCUCGGUGCCAAAAAAGUAUAGGCCGAGUAAGUUGGAUGCCAAGUGCCAGAACUCGUUGUGGCUGAAGAAGUUUGUGACGAGAGUGUGGAGUCGGCCACUCAACACGUUGUGCAUGGAGAUCUGAGUGUCACAAUUGUCACGAGAGAAUUUCUAGCAAAAGAAAAAGAGAGAAAGAAACCGACCGUGAAAUGCUCGGUCAUGAAAACCGGGUCGAAAACCUUCCACAGGAAGAACACCGAAACGUUGGCACCGAUCAAAGUCCACAAAGCAACAUCGGGUCGAGCGUAUCCUCCACCCCUGAUAGAGUUCCAAGAAAAAUAAACAUCACCCUCGAAGAAGAUCAUAGAAGAUCAUAGCAUAGGAAAAAAACGAUCUUUGUUACCCUGGCAAGCGGCCGAGGCUGGAGUAUCUCCAGCGCUGCGAGAAGCGAUUCACAAGCCGGUUCCAUUCUCGCACGGCGGGCUGCAACUCGGCUGGGAUCUUGAGCUUGCUUCCCUGGAAACUUGUCCGAAACUGGCUGCUGCUCGUCCGCGUCGCGUGAAUCCAGCAAGUGAGAGGCCGCCAUUCGGUGCUCGUGGCGAUCUUUGAUGUGCCCAAGAAACCACUCACGCUCGUCUUACCAGCGGUCGCACAGAUUCUGCGCACUGCCGCCAUUUCCACCCUAAACGAAGACCAAGCUUUUGGAAUUCCAGGAAACCUUUGUAUUGUUUUGCAGUCUCGAGAGAACGAGAGUUCGCUCCAAAUUCCACCAUUUCGUUUCCUCUCCCGCGGAAUUGGAGAGCGAAAAGAAUCUGAAAGGUUGGCACCGAUUAGAAAAACUGGCUUUUUGGUUCGAGGAAGCCUCACACGCUAUGAGAUAGAUCGAGAGAUGUCCGCUGUUCCUUCCAGAAACUUAGAUUUUGGAGAGAAGAACAAUGCAAGUGGAGAACUUCUUGUGCUGGAUCAUUGCUUUCGAAUUCGCGCUUUUUAUUUACAUCGAUUUGGCGAAGAACAUCAUGGGAGGAUUGGAUUCGUGUUGUUGGUGGAGUGGCAUUGGAUUUGGAGUGACGAGACGAGGAGCUUGUGUGUUUUCCUAGCCCUGAUCGCUUCGCGUCCCAGUGUUCGUGGAGGCCGAUCUUCUCCUGUGCCUUCCGCGUCUACGCCUCUGCGAAAAAAGAGAUUUUUGAGUCAAGUUCCACUGGACGAUUGGGUGAUCUUACUCCUCGCCCUCGGCGCCGCCUCCGCCGGCGCAUCAAAGAGGGGCUUGUCGACGCUGUUCUUGCGGGUCGCACCAUUUCUCCUGUCCUCCCAAACUCUAGCAAUGCUUCGCCAUAGUUUUCUCCAGCAAUGUAUAUCCCCGGAACAGCCGCGACCCUUGGAUCUGCCACGUCACUGAUUAGAUCAGCCACGUCAGCGAUCCCCGGAACAAAACCCUAGGCUCGUACGGAGCUUAUUAACUGGAGUUUUAAACUCUUUUGGGCGAGGGAGGAGCGAGGAAUAGAUUCGGCAUGGGGAGCGCGCGGCGGCCCAAGAAUCCCAUCCAGGCGCUCGUCUGGAGGAUCCAGCGCCAGAAUCCCCGCGUCAAGGCCGCGCUCCUGGCGCUGGCGGCAGUGAUUGGGAUCGUCUUCCUCAGGUAUGUCGUCAAGGAUCACGACACCCUCUUCGUCGCCUCCGAGUGCGUCCACGCCCUGGGGAUCGUCAUUCUCAUCUACAAGCUCCAGAAGGAGAAGAAUUGCGCCGGUAAGGAUCCAUGGAGCGAUCGAUCGAUUCGAUCGCUCAUUAGCUACAGCUAGGGCCGCGUCAAAUCACUUAAAUAACUUUCUUACAAGUGUGUGUUUCUCGUGUUUCUUAGGUGUGUCUUUGCGAUCGCAGGAGCUUACAGCGAUUUUUCUUCUCGUCCGGCUCUACUGCUCCACUUUCAUGGAGCAAAACAUCCACACUUUCCUCGACACGGCCACGCUCCUCGUCACGGCCUGGGUGAUUUAUAUGAUCCGGACCAAUCUCAAGGCAACUUAUGUCCAGGAACUCGAUAACAUGCCACUCUACUAUGUGGUAAGCUUUGUUUUUCUCGUCCGGGACUUGAGUUCUAUCACUCCUUUUUGGUUUUCCUUUCAGCUGGCUCCAUGCGCAGUGCUCGCUAUCCUGGUUCAUCCUCUCAUCCGGUACCACCUUAUCAACAGAGUUUUGUGGGCGUUUUGUGUGUAUUUGGAGGCCGUCUCCGUGCUGCCUCAGCUUCGGGUGAUGCAAAAGGCUAAGGUAGGCCAAUUCUCUAUGUUUCUUCGCUCACUUAUCUUGGAUUUGAUCCACAGCUUAUAGAACCCUUUACUGCGCUCUACGUUUUCGCCCUUGGGGUUGCAAGAUUUAUCAACUGUGCGCAUUGGCUGCUCCAGGUAUGAAUCUCAUUGCAAGACAAGAGGAAGGUCAUGUAAAAAAACGCAUUUUUCUUCUCCUUUUGCAGCUGAUAGAUGGACGUGGCUACCUCUUCUACACGCUGGGAACGCAGCUCAAACACCGGAGCUUGAUUCCUUAUGGCUUGUGGCCUGCCAUGGUUGUGGUCGCCGAGAUUGUCCAGACAUUCAUCCUUGCCGAUUUCUGCUACUACUACGUAAAGAGGUAUGGAUCAAAAGAAGAAAAAAGCCAUUUUUUCCAUGAAAUUUACGAUUUCUUUGUUUGUGACAGUGUGGCGGAGGGCCAGAUGAUGAUCCGGUUGCCUUCAAGUGUCUAGAAUUUCAUUUGGUUGUACAAGUCUUUUCUCCUCCUUUAAACUUUCUUAAGUUAACUUAAAAUGGCCGAUUAAAAGAGUACCUUUAGGGCUAGCUAGCUAGGGCAAUUUGGAUUGAGCGCCAUGGAAGACAAGCAGCUGUUGCUGGCGCAGUUCAUGGAGGUGGUAGGCGAGCCUGCCGAUCGCUGCCACCAGUUCCUCGAGGUUUGAUCCCUCCCUGAUCGCUCUUCUUGAAGGAAAUGCCGAGUGAUUUUGUGUAGGCGACGAACUGGCAGCUCGAGGAAGCGAUUCAGCUCUUUUUCGCUGGCGGAGGUGUCGAGAUUGGAGCUCCGCCUUUAGCAGCGGAGCCCCCGCCAAUGAGCAAGCCUGUCCAUGCGGAGCCACCUCCAGUAGUGCUCCCUUCUCCAAGGUGAGAGUUUUCCUUCGUUCUUUCUCGUUCCUGGAUGAAAAGAAAGGAUUUUUUUCCUCUCAGUGGGGGAGAUGACUACGUUCGUCCACCACUGCCUGUGAAACGCGAGGCCUUGUACGAGGAUAUCUUCCAAUACAGGUAAGAAAACGAAGAUCACCAUCUCCUUUUCUCAUUCUCUUUGGAUGGUUUUCCAGAGCACAAAGAAGGGCGCAAGCAGGUCCCGUCCAGCCGACUCCUGUGGAUGCUUUCCGGAACUUCGAGGACGAGUUUAACUCCAGAAUCGCCAAGCCCUCCCCUGGGAGCUCUCCCGUGGGUGCCAAAGCUCCAACGCUUGCGUCCCUGUACCGUCCGCCACUGGAGCUCAACUUCGAGGGAAGCUUCGAACAGGUACGAAGGACGCCACUUUUCCCAGACGAGACCAUCUUUCUCCGCAUGUUUAGGCGAAAGCAGAAGCAGCCAAGCAAGGAAAAUGGUUGCUCAUCAACUUGCAAUCCCAUACAGAGUUUGCGAGUCAUAUGGUAUGAUUAUAGCUCCACAAGUAAGCUUGCAAACUGUGUUUUCUCAUCUACGAGCUGAUGCUUUCUGUGUAGCUGAACAGAGACACCUGGGCACACGAGGCCGUCAAGGACACGGUGAGGAUAACCUUCGUCUUCUGGCAGGUAUUUGUGAUGUUUGAUAGCAUUCGUGGCCUCACUUCUUCUUUGCUGGUUUUAGAUCUACGAUGACACCGAGGAAGGAAAGAAGGUGUGCACGUACUACCGCUUGAAUACCAUGCCUACCAUUCUGGUGCUGGAUCCUUUAACUGGCCAGAAGAUGAGAUCCUGGGAGGGUAUGGUAGGCGCGGAGAGACUGCUCGAGGUAUAUGUUUUAUUCACCACUUUCUAUAGAGAGUUUUCUAUAGAGACUUACAACACUUUCAGGAUCUUGUCCAAUUCAUGGAUAGAGGUCCCAUGGAGAACCACACUCAAAAGCGACCACGAGAUGUGGAACAACAGCAACAGCAACAGCAACAGCAGCAGCAGCAGCAGCAACCACAACAGCAGCUGGAUCAAGGUAGAGCUCGACGCUGAGUUGCCAGCAAUCUUUUCACUUUGUUCUUGGCAGGCCCGGCUGAUACCGACGAAGACAAGGAACUCCAGCGGGCCUUGGCAGCUUCGUUGGAGAGCCAAACCGAGCCUUCUUCGGCGGCGGAGCAUGUCAAGGCCCGCGGCAGCAAGCAUCCAGCGCUGCCGGACGAGCCCAAGCCCGAAGAGCCAGAAACUUGCCGCGUUGGAGUGCGUUUUCCCGAUGGCAAGAGGGGCCAGCGGAGGUACUUUCGAUCCGAUCCACUAACUGUAAGUGGAAAACCAGCGAUGUUCUUCCUUUCUCGCUUCUCAUGUUGGUCGUAUCGUGUAUGAGCAGUACCUCUGGUCGUAUUGCUGCUUGAACGUGGAGGAGGCCGCCAGCGGCAGAAAGUUUCGCCUCACGCUCACCAUUCCUGGUGGGAGGUCUCUCGAGUACGAUCCCAGCAUCACCAUCGAUGAAGCAGGUGUUGCCAACGCCAUACUGAACAUGGCAUGGGAUUGAUCGCUAGUUUUCUUUUCUCCUUCGCCUGUAUCUGGCAAUCAUCUCAACGCGUAGUCAGUCGUAAGAACUCUUUCAAUCAAAACAUGAUUUUUAAGGCUUUUGUUUUGCAAACCUGGUAAUCAUUCUGUCCGAGGACGAGCGCCCCGUGAGUCGGCAGUCAUGAGUCGACAGUCAGACACAGAUAGCUCCAAAAGAUACCUGAAACUCCAGACACGAUAAAUUCCUCUGCAAAGCUGCUACCAACGCGCUCUGGUUCUUCUGUAUAUUUCAAUGUAGCCAGCAAAGAACUUCCAGGUUUGGCGAUGGAGAAGGUCCCGCUGCUGCUGCUUGUAGCGAUGGUGGUGCUAGCAGCAGCAGCACUUCCGGUUCUGGGACAAGAAGUAGAAGCUGAAAACGAGGCGUUCGAUCCAAACGACGACUUCGAGUUCCAGAUGAAGAAGCCGAAAAUUCUCGUCAAAGGCCAUGUUGUCUGUGAUCGAUGCUGGCACGGACGUGUUGGCAACAUGAGCCUCCCUCUCCAUGGUACGCAAGAAAACCAUCUUUGGUAGAAGUUUGAGAGAAGUUCUUCGUUCUUGUGUCGAGCAGACGCCGAGGUAGGCAUCAAAUGCGUGGACCUGUAUGGAUUCGUGACCUUCUCCGGCGUUGGAUACACCAACACUCACGGCGUCUUCACCAUUCCCAUGGACGAGAUUCCAGCCAUCUUCGGCGUUAAGGGAUGCAAAGCCAAGCUUCUGCGAGGCCCAAGCACCGGCGACUGCGAUGAGGUGAGCUCCAUGGGAGAUGGUCACACGGGAGCUCCGCUUCUACUCGUCCACAAAUCCCUGCGAGAGGUCGUGUUUACUUCCGGUCCCUUCGCGUGCCGGCCUCUCAAACGUCCGGGAGCUUGCAAAACCGCCGCUGCUCCUCCUCUUCCUCCUCCGCCAGUUUACAAGUACUCGUCACCACCGCCACCGUUCAAGCACGUCCCAAACCAUCAUCCACCCCCGCCAAGCGUUCCCAGCUACCAUUCUCACACUCCUCCGCCUGUUUCUCACCAUCCGCCACCACCAUCUCCACGACCAGUUGCUCCUCCAGUUUCUAAGUCGCCGUUCAAUCCAUACAUUUACAAGUCCCCACCCCCACCACCUCCAGCUCCUGUGAAAUACCAUCAUCCACCUCCGGCUCCAAUCUACUUCCGCAAAACUCCACCUCCGCAGAUCCAUCCUUCACCACCUCCUGUAACUUCUCACAAGUAUCCGCCUCCAAUGGCACCUCAGAAGCCAUUACCACCACCUCCUGUAACUUCUCACAAGUAUCCGCCUCCAAUGGCACCUAAGAAGCCAUCGCCACCACCAAGUAGCAAGCCGCCACCUCCAAAAUCAUCACCUGGGCCUGUUACAAAGCUUCCAC
RNAcentral lists this long non-coding RNA (35692 nucleotides) under Selaginella moellendorffii. RNAcentral's name for it is "long non-coding RNA (SMOE_LNC002368)". Lineage: Eukaryota; Viridiplantae; Streptophyta; Lycopodiopsida; Selaginellales; Selaginellaceae. The record is from RNAcentral.